This 254-nucleotide ribosomal RNA is filed under the name uncultured bacterium. RNAcentral's name for it is "partial 16S ribosomal RNA". It matches the Rfam family "Bacterial small subunit ribosomal RNA", at positions 524 to 776 of the family's 1533-position model. The record is from RNAcentral.
UACGGAGGGUGCGAGCGUUGUCCGGAAUCAUUGGGCGUAAAGGGCGCGUAGGUGGCCCGGUCAGUCAGUGGUGAAAGCGCGGGGCUCAACCCCGCGUCGGCCAUUGAUACUGCCGCGGCUCGAGCACUGUAGAGGCAGGCGGAAUUCCGGGUGUAGCGGUGGAAUGCGUAGAGAUCCGGAAGAACACCGGUGGCGAAGGCGGCCUGCUGGGCAGUGGCUGACGCUGAGGCGCGACAGCGUGGGGAGCAAACAGG